Molecule: ribosomal RNA, 369 nt
Filed under: uncultured organism
Description: bacterial SSU rRNA
Rfam family: Bacterial small subunit ribosomal RNA
Source: RNAcentral
CGAAGGGGCUAGCGUUGUUCGGAAUUACUGGGCGUAAAGCACGUGUAGGCGGUUGUUCAAGUCAGGUGUGAAAGCCUUGAGCUCAACUCAAGAAAUGCACUUGAUACUGGAUGACUAGAGGACCGGAGAGGAUAGUGGAAUUCCCAGUGUAGUGGUGAAAUACGUAGAGAUUGGGAAGAACACCAGUGGCGAAGGCGGCUAUCUGGACGGUUUCUGACGCUAAGACGCGAAAGCGUGGGGAGCAAACAGGAUUAGAUACCCUGGUAGUCCACGCCGUAAACGAUGGGUGCUAGACGUUGGCGAGCUUGCUCGUCAGUGUCGCAGCUAACGCGUUAAGCACCCCGCCUGGGGAGUACGGCCGCAAGGUUG